Non-coding RNA from Schistosoma curassoni, 45 nucleotides. The record is from Rfam. NCBI's taxonomy places the organism in Eukaryota, Metazoa, Platyhelminthes, Trematoda, Strigeidida, Schistosomatidae.
AUCUGGCUGGCGAAUCCCAAAUAGGGCGAAACGCACGUCCUGGAU